CCUACGGGAGGCAGCAGUGAGGAAUAUUGGUCAAUGGACGAGAGUCUGAACCAGCCAAGUAGCGUGAAGGAUGACUGCCCUAUGGGUUGUAACCUUCUUUUUUCAAGGAAUAAAACGAGGCACGUGUGCCUUUUUGCAUGUACUUUAUGAAUAAGGAUCGGCGAACUCCGUGCCAGCAGCCGCGGUAAUACGGAGGAUCCGAGCGUUAUCCGGAUUUAUUGGGUGUCAAGGGAGCGUAGAUGGGUUGUUAAGUCGGUUGUGAAAGUUUGCGGCUCAACCGUAAAAUUGCAAUUGAUACUGGCAGUCUUGAGUACAGUUGAGGCAAGCGGAAUUCGUGGUGUAGCGGUGGAAUGCUUAGAUAUCACGAAGAACCCCGAUUGCGAAGGCAGCUUACUAAACUGUGACUGACAUUGAUGCUCGAAAGUGUGGGUAUCAAACAGGAUUAGAUACCCGAGUAGUC
RNAcentral lists this ribosomal RNA (460 nucleotides) under uncultured bacterium. RNAcentral describes it as "partial 16S ribosomal RNA". It matches the Rfam family "Bacterial small subunit ribosomal RNA", at positions 338 to 795 of the family's 1533-position model. The record is from RNAcentral.